CCCUCAGCAGCAGGCCAGUGGAGAGGUGAGACUAGCAGUGUGUGGCCUGGGACAGGAGUAGAUAAAAGGCAGCCAUGGAAAGAACUAUUCCUUCCAGCCCAGAACACUGUCUCUGAACAGCAAGAUGGCUUUGAAACGCUUUCACAACGAAGGUGUGCUCCACUGGGCACCACAACAUACGGUUCAGACGUUUAAAGCCUGUCUCAGCCCAAUUUCCUCUCCAUUUGCUCCCUGGGUAAGGUAUCCCCCCUUCAGUGCAGGCAGAACUGGCGACUUGCUUCUAAUCAACAAAAUAUGGCAAAGGUAAGAAAUUGCUGCCUCCAUGAUUAGGUUGUUUAACAGUGUGACUUCCAUCUUGCUAGCAGACUGUCCCUUUGAUGAAUCAAGUGACCACAUUUUGGAGAUACUUGUGUAGCAAGAAACUGAUGGUGGCUUCUGUCCAACAGCAAGCAAAGAAAUAAAUCCUGCUGACAAUCAAGUAAGAAAGCUUGAAGUUGGAUUUUUCCCCAGUCAAACCUUCAGAGGAGAUGCAGCCCUGGCUGACACCAUGUUUGUAGAGACCCCAGUGCAGAGGAUCCAGAUAAGCUGCCCCUGUAUUUCUGACCCAUAGAAACUGAGA
This 619-nucleotide long non-coding RNA is filed under the name Homo sapiens (human). Its description in RNAcentral is "HSALNT0381625". Lineage: Eukaryota; Metazoa; Chordata; Mammalia; Primates; Hominidae. The record is from RNAcentral.